GGACCGGUGGUCUAGUGGUAUGACGUGCACUUGAACUCUCAGGAGAUCGCGGGUUCGAUCCCCGCCUGGUCCA
This 73-nucleotide transfer RNA is filed under the name Ophiostoma piceae UAMH 11346. RNAcentral's name for it is "tRNA-Ser (TGA) (tRNA-Ser-TGA-4-1)". It matches the Rfam family "tRNA". From Rfam's summary of the family: Transfer RNA (tRNA) molecules are approximately 80 nucleotides in length. Their secondary structure includes four short double-helical elements and three loops (D, anti-codon, and T loops). Lineage: Eukaryota; Fungi; Ascomycota; Sordariomycetes; Ophiostomatales; Ophiostomataceae. The record is from Rfam by way of RNAcentral.